UGCCAGCAGCCGCGGUAAUACGGGAGUGGCAAGCGUUAUCCGGAAUUAUUGGGCGUAAAGGGUACGCAGGCGGGACUUUAAGUCAGUGGUGAAAGCCUCCAGCUUAACUGGAGAAUUGCCAUUGAAACUGAAGUUCUUGAGUAUGGAUGAGGUGGUUGGAAUAUAACAUGUAGCGGUGAAAUGCAUAGAUAUGUUAUAGAACACCAAUUGCGAAGGCAGAUCACUAAACCAUUACUGACGCUGAGGUACGAAAGCGUGGGUAGCGAACAGGAUUAGAUA
This 279-nucleotide ribosomal RNA is filed under the name uncultured bacterium. Its description in RNAcentral is "partial 16S ribosomal RNA". It matches the Rfam family "Bacterial small subunit ribosomal RNA", at positions 506 to 784 of the family's 1533-position model. The record is from RNAcentral.